RNAcentral lists this ribosomal RNA (678 nucleotides) under uncultured marine eukaryote. RNAcentral's name for it is "SSU rRNA". It matches the Rfam family "Eukaryotic small subunit ribosomal RNA", at positions 613 to 1292 of the family's 1831-position model. The record is from RNAcentral.
UUGUGGUUAAAAAGCUCGUAGUUGGAUCUCGGCGGACUGAGGGCGGUUUGCUUGCUAGUAUUACUGCCCUAUAGUCCGUAGUUUUGCCAGAGGUUUCGGGGUGCUCUUAAUCGAGUGUCCCGGGAUGCUGGCAGGUUUACUUUGAAAAAAUUAGAGUGCUCAAAGCAGGCUAUUACGCCUGAAUAUUCGUGCAUGGAAUAAUAGAAUAGGAAGUCGUUUCUAUUUUGUUGGUUUUCGGAAAUCGACUUAAUGAUUAAUAGGGACAGUCGGGGGCAUUUGUAUUCAAACGACAGAGGUGAAAUUCUUGGACCGUUUGAAGACAAACUACUGCGAAAGCAUUUGCCAAGAAUGUUUUCAUUAAUCAAGAACGAAAGUUAAAGGUUCGAAGGCGAUUAGAUACCGCCCUAGUUUUAACCAUAAACGAUGCCAGCUAGCGAUCUGCGGACGUUUUUUUUGUAGACUCCGAAGGAAGCUUCCGGGAAACCAAAGCAUUUGGGUUCCAGGGGAAGUAUGGUUGCAAAGCUGAAACUUAAAGGAAUUGACGGAAGGGCACCACCAGGAGUGGAGCCUGUGGCUUAAUUUGACUCAACACGGGAAAUCUCACCAGGCCCGGACACUGGAAGGAUUGACAGAUUGAUAGCUCUUUCUUGAUUCGGUGGGUGGUGGUGCAUGGCCCGU